Molecule: ribosomal RNA, 120 nt
Filed under: uncultured bacterium
Lineage: Bacteria
Description: partial 16S ribosomal RNA
Rfam family: Bacterial small subunit ribosomal RNA
Source: RNAcentral
CACGCUGUAAACGAUGAUCACUCGUUGUUGGCGAUAUACAGUCAGCGACUGAACGAAAGUAUUAAGUGAUCCACCUGGGGAGUACGAUCGCAAGGUUGAAACUCAAAGGAAUUGACGGGG